Mytilus trossulus (common blue mussel) is the source of this 702-nucleotide long non-coding RNA. RefSeq lists it as uncharacterized. The transcript has 2 exons. Lineage: Eukaryota; Metazoa; Mollusca; Bivalvia; Mytilida; Mytilidae. The record is from RefSeq and is a predicted model, not a curated record.
UAAGAUGUCAUGAAAAUGAAUACGUAUUAAAGAUAAUGAGAACAUCUAUUAUUCAGGUGCAUGUUACUCCUCGCUGUAGGCCAUCUUUAUUGUUAAAUUGUUGCACUGUGCAUAUCCACAAGGCCAUCUUGUAAAUUUAUUACGAAUUAUUAAUCUUGCUCAACCGGUGGUUGACCAUUUAAAAAUGACAUGUUCUGACUAACAUUAAGUGGGAAUAUUUAUUUAUGGACAAUCUGGCCAUACCUGUUUUUCUGCACACGGCGCUAAAUACUUUUCCGGUUUAUCAUGGCGGGACCAUUUGUAUUCGUUAAUGUCUUUGCACACGGUAUUUUGGAUUUACACACGUGGUGUCUUGUUGGAAUUUAUAUUAAGAGUGUUUGCCGGCUAAUUUUACAAUUCUUUCCGAAACUCCAAAAAAAGAAAGACAAAUACUCAACACUGCUAUUUUGAUCAGUCAUCAAUUGAAAAUGUCUUCAACUGGAAAAACGUGUAGUCUAACAACAGGAAACAAGUGUGGAUGUGGUGAUAACUGUGAGUGUGGAGAUAGCUGUGUAUGUAGUCCUAAGAUGAAAGGAUCAUGUAGUUGUUCAUCUGGAGGAAAUUGUACAUGUGGAGAUUCAUGCGCAUGUACCACUGAAUGCGGUUGUGGGACUGAAUGUGGAAAAUCUAAAUCCUCUUAGCAGUUGAUUGAAACCAUUUUAG